AGGCACGACAAGAGUUAGCUUCGGACCACACCCGAAUUUCACAUCUGAAAUUAUAAAUUUGAGUACAUACUGUUUCAGUUUGCUUAUGAAAGUGGGGGAAAAUUCAACCACAUGUUCCAAGAAUAGAACAUAUAUCUUCACCAAAACUAACAACAUUCUUUGACAUGUAAGAAAAAAAUCAUAAAUAAGUCUUAAAUAGUGAUAUGGUAUAUGUUAUUUUUGAAA
Non-coding RNA from Caenorhabditis elegans, 225 nucleotides. The record is from Ensembl. NCBI's taxonomy places the organism in Eukaryota, Metazoa, Nematoda, Chromadorea, Rhabditida, Rhabditidae.